GCCGGCGGCAACAGCGUCGUGAGCGGCCUUGACGCGGGCCUCCUCACCAGGGCUGGUGUGACGGAGGAGCAGGCGGCCACCGCGUUCCGGAGCCAGACGGCCGUCCUCCUCACCAGGCUGAGCACGAAGCUGCCCGGCGUAUGCCCGCGCGAGCACGAUAGGAAAGGGCUCGUCGUGAACGCCGGCCACGUCGCCGCAGGGACCCUGAAGACGCUCACCCCGUCGGAUCUGGCCGCGCUGAGCGGCCUCGGGUUCAGCGCGAUGCUCGGGCGGCUCGAGCCCGGUGCCGCGAGGCCACCGUGAGUGCUCCGCGAAGGAGCGGCGCAUGCGGUGUACGUGGCACGCGGGAGCGCGCGCGUCCAGGUCUCGUCUGCCGCGGGCGGCGACACGCUGCUGCUGGACGAGGAGGUCCCCGCGGGGAGCUUGUUCGUUGUGCCACGGUUCGCCGUUGCGCUCGUCGCCGCCGGCGCUGAUGGUGCGGAGUGGGUCUCGCUGAUCAAGAGCGGCAGGCCGGCGGUGGAGCACCUGACCGGGGAGGGCUUGAUUUUCGGCGGCCUGACUCCACAGGUGGUGCAGGCAUCGCUGAAAGUGGCGCCAGAGCUGUUGAAGCUGCUCUGA
Molecule: ribosomal RNA, 618 nt
Filed under: Triticum aestivum (bread wheat)
Lineage: Eukaryota; Viridiplantae; Streptophyta; Magnoliopsida; Poales; Poaceae
Description: partial small subunit ribosomal RNA
Source: RNAcentral